RNAcentral lists this small RNA (100 nucleotides) under Thermoanaerobacter pseudethanolicus ATCC 33223. Its description in RNAcentral is "Guanidine-I riboswitch aptamer". It matches the Rfam family "Guanidine-I riboswitch aptamer". Rfam says of the family: This family represents a conserved RNA structure found upstream of the ykkC and yxkD genes in Bacillus subtilis and related genes in other bacteria. The function of this family is unclear although it has been suggested that it may function to switch on efflux pumps and detoxification systems in response to harmful environmental molecules. Nelson showed that this riboswitch senses and responds to guanidine and it was renamed Guanidine-I riboswitch. Lineage: Bacteria; Bacillati; Bacillota; Clostridia; Thermoanaerobacterales; Thermoanaerobacteraceae. The record is from Rfam by way of RNAcentral.
UGAAAGUGUACCUAGGGUUCCAGCCUAUUUAUAGGUGUUCGGACCGAGCGGUACAGGUAUAUUUUAUAUACCACACCUUAGGGACAAAAGCCCGGGAGGA